RNAcentral lists this transfer RNA (73 nucleotides) under Candidatus Woesebacteria bacterium RIFCSPHIGHO2_01_FULL_39_17. RNAcentral describes it as "tRNA-Arg". It matches the Rfam family "tRNA". Rfam says of the family: Transfer RNA (tRNA) molecules are approximately 80 nucleotides in length. Their secondary structure includes four short double-helical elements and three loops (D, anti-codon, and T loops). RNAcentral also lists the same sequence under 1 other name. Lineage: Bacteria; Candidatus Woeseibacteriota. The record is from RNAcentral.
GUCCUCGUAGCUCAAUGGAUAGAGCAUCGGAUUGCGGAUCCGGGGGUUGUGAGUUCGACUCUCACCGGGGACA